RNAcentral lists this ribosomal RNA (492 nucleotides) under uncultured bacterium. RNAcentral's name for it is "partial 16S ribosomal RNA". It matches the Rfam family "Bacterial small subunit ribosomal RNA", at positions 29 to 507 of the family's 1533-position model. The record is from RNAcentral.
AGUGAACGCUGGCGGUAGGCCUAACACAUGCAAGUCGAACGGCAGCACAGUAAGAGCUUGCUCUUACGGGUGGCGAGUGGCGGACGGGUGAGGAAUACAUCGGAAUCUACUUUUUCGUGGGGGAUAACGUAGGGAAACUUACGCUAAUACCGGAUACGACCUACGGGUGAAAGCAGGGGAUCUUCGGACCUUGCGCGAUUGAAUGAGCCGAUGUCGGAUUAGCUAGUUGGCGGGGUAAAGGCCCACCAAGGCGACGAUCCGUAGCUGGUCUGAGAGGAUGAUCAGCCACACUGGAACUGAGACACGGUCCAGACUCCUACGGGAGGCAGCAGUGGGGAAUAUUGGACAAUGGGCGCAAGCCUGAUCCAGCCAUACCGCGUGGGUGAAGAAGGCCUUCGGGUUGUAAAGCCCUUUUGUUGGGAAAGAAAAGCAGCAGGUUAAUACCCCGCUGUUCUGACGGUACCCAAAGAAUAAGCACCGGCUAACUUCGUG